RNAcentral lists this ribosomal RNA (253 nucleotides) under uncultured bacterium. RNAcentral describes it as "partial 16S ribosomal RNA". It matches the Rfam family "Bacterial small subunit ribosomal RNA", at positions 524 to 776 of the family's 1533-position model. The record is from RNAcentral.
UACGGGGGGGGCAAGCGUUGUUCGGAAUUACUGGGCGUAAAGGGCUCGUAGGCGGCCAACUAAGUCAGACGUGAAAUCCCUCGGCUUAACCGGGGAACUGCGUCUGAUACUGGAUGGCUUGAGUUUGGGAGAGGGAUGCGGAAUUCCAGGUGUAGCGGUGAAAUGCGUAGAUAUCUGGAGGAACACCGGUGGCGAAGGCGGGUCUCUGGGCCGAUACUGACGCUGAGGAGCGAAAGCGUGGGGAGCGAACAGG